RNAcentral lists this ribosomal RNA (253 nucleotides) under uncultured bacterium. Its description in RNAcentral is "partial 16S ribosomal RNA". It matches the Rfam family "Bacterial small subunit ribosomal RNA", at positions 524 to 776 of the family's 1533-position model. The record is from RNAcentral.
UACGAGUGCCUCAAGCGUUAUCCGGAAUCAUUGGGCGUAAAGGGUUUGUAGGUGGUCAUGUUAGUCUCUCGUUAAAUUUCCCGGCUUAACCGGGAACCUGCGGGGGAAACGGCAUGACUUGAGGAUGCAAGGGGUCUGCGGAACUCAUAGUGUAGCGGUGAAAUGCGUUGAUAUUAUGGGGAACACCAAAAGCGAAGGCAGCAGACUGGGGCACUCCUGACACUGAAAAACGAAAGCGUGGGUAGCGAAUGGG